UCGGGUAUGGUGUAGCGGUAACAUCGCUGGUUUUCAUAUAUUCUCUUCUCAAGAGAAUUAAAGAUCUCUCAGUAGCCCGGGGUUCGACUCCCCGUAUCCGAG
Molecule: non-coding RNA, 102 nt
Organism: Echria macrotheca
Lineage: Eukaryota; Fungi; Ascomycota; Sordariomycetes; Sordariales; Schizotheciaceae
Source: the annotation of a GenBank genome assembly